This 253-nucleotide ribosomal RNA is filed under the name uncultured bacterium. RNAcentral describes it as "partial 16S ribosomal RNA". It matches the Rfam family "Bacterial small subunit ribosomal RNA", at positions 524 to 776 of the family's 1533-position model. The record is from RNAcentral.
UACGUAGGGGGCAAGCGUUAUCCGGAUUUACUGGGUGUAAAGGGGGCGCAGACGGCGAUGCAAGCCAGGGGUGAAAGCCCGGGGCCCAACCCCGGGACUGCUCUUGGAACUGCGUGGCUGGAGUGCAGGGGGGGCAGGCGGAAUUCCUGGUGUAGCAGUGAAAUGCGUAGAUAUCAGGAGGAACACCGGUGGCGAAGGCGGCCUGCUGGACUGCAACUGACGUUGAGGCCCGAAAGCGUGGGGAGCAAACAGG